Molecule: ribosomal RNA, 253 nt
Filed under: uncultured bacterium
Lineage: Bacteria
Description: partial 16S ribosomal RNA
Rfam family: Bacterial small subunit ribosomal RNA
Source: RNAcentral
UACGAAGGGUGCAAGCGUUAUUCGGAAUCACUGGGCGUAAAGAGUGCGUAGGCGGUUUAUUAAGUUUGUUGUUAAAGACUCUAGCCUAACUGGAGGGUUGCAAUGAAAACUGAUAAGCUAGAGGGUGAUAGAGAGAAGUGGAAUUCCCGGAGUAGCGGUAAAAUGCGUGGAUCUCGGGAGGAACACCAAUGGCGAAGGCAGCUUCUUGGCUCAUUCCUGACGUUGAGGCACGAAAGCGUGGGGAGCAAACAGG